RNAcentral lists this ribosomal RNA (465 nucleotides) under uncultured bacterium. Its description in RNAcentral is "partial 16S ribosomal RNA". It matches the Rfam family "Bacterial small subunit ribosomal RNA", at positions 28 to 507 of the family's 1533-position model. The record is from RNAcentral.
GACGAACGCUGGCGGCGUGCUUAACACAUGCAAGUCGAACGGAAAGGCCCCUUUGGGGGUCCUCGAGUGGCGAACGGGUGAGUAACACGUGAGUAACCUGCCCUUGACUUCGGGAUAACUUCAGGAAACUGGGGCUAAUACCGGAUAGGAAUCCUUGCUGCAUGGUGGGGGUUGGAAAGCUUCGGCGGUUUUGGAUGGACUCACGGCUUAUCAGCUUGUUGGUGGGGUAGUGGCUUACCAAGGCUUUGACGGGUAGCCGGCCUGAGAGGGCGACCGGCCACAGUGGGACUGAGAUACGGCCCAGACUCCUACGGGAGGCAGCAGUGGGGAAUAUUGCACAAUGGGCGGAAGCCUGAUGCAGCAACGCCGCGUGCGGGAUGACGGCCUUCGGGUUGUAAACCGCUUUCAGCAGGGGCGAAGCUUGUGGUGACGGUACCUGCAGAAGAAGCACCGGCUAACUACGUG